This 1956-nucleotide long non-coding RNA is filed under the name Varroa destructor (honeybee mite). RNAcentral's name for it is "uncharacterized LOC111249881". The record is from RNAcentral. Lineage: Eukaryota; Metazoa; Arthropoda; Arachnida; Mesostigmata; Varroidae.
CAGCCGGCUCGCGGUUGACUCGGGGUUUCACACCCACGGUGACGAAGAGCACUGGGCACAACUUGUAGCCAUGGGCUUGGCAGUCUCCACUUCAGUAGCCGAAUAGCUCUUGGUUUAUAGUGGUCUGUUCGCGGGAGUGUCAGAUACAGUCUGGGGAGUAUUUGUCGCGCAGCAUCGCCAACGUUCGCUAACGGACCCAACAGAAAACCGGCAUCGCCCACUACGUGCACACCGCCAGACCUUUCCUAUACGCUUGGAACGAGACGCAUAUGGGUACCAUAAACAACGGUGGAGCGACUGAGCGGGCGAGAAGCUGAUCCCACCGUGAAGAAAAGGCCAUUACGGCAGGUCGCCAAUGUCAGAAAAACAGGGCAAUGAACAGAAGCAAGUAAAGGCAGCGUCGAUAACUGCGCUUUACGCCGAUCACGAUUCCGUUUGUGUUUUGCCGUAACGUCCCACGAUAUGCUCCUUUAUCAUUAUCGCUGCCGUCGGCUCUGGUGUCCGUCUGAGUGUCAGCUUCGAUGGGCGCUGACAGCUCGGGCCCAAACAACGUUAGGUUCUCUGUCGAAGCACUCGCCAGCUUGCCUAGUUGCUCCGGCCAUGUUCUCAAGCGUCGAGCGAGUCGGCAAAAAACAUGCUAGUCUUCAAGCAGUAGCACAAUGGAACAAUAGAACAGCUCCUAACAAGAAGAAAACUGCCGUCAUAAUGGCGACAGCGACAACAUUGUUUGCAAUGGUGACGAUGCCUAUCAGCUCUUAAGACGCUGCCAGUAACAACAAUGUUCGAAUGUUCACGGCUGCCACCGAAAGCGCUCACUCGAACAUCCGUUGCUAGUGACAUGUUGAAAAGAGCAAUGACUAUAGGCAAAUGUGACUGGAAAAGCCGCUGUCGCGGCCGUCCAACGAAGUAAACGCUAUGAAAGGGAGAGCUGGUUGAGUUACAAUCGAUUUCAUCGGUUGACUUCGGGGAAAGGUCUGAACCUUCGUAGAGAGGAGAGGCAAUUUCGGACACGUGUCGGGAACGACAUUAUGAAGUCUCUCAUCGUCAGAAAAAACUCGCCGAAGGAGAAGCAAGCUUUUUCAGGGUUCAGUAAUCAUCACUUGAACAUGCGUGAAUUACGUGAAUUCACGCAUAUGUAUAUCGAGUUUCACAUAUUGCUGCUUGUCCCACUGGGUUUACAGAGCGCAUAAAGUAUCAGCUGACAAGGAUAACGCCAUGGCUUGAUGCCAAACCAGAGGCUGGUUAAGGCUGUAUCACGUUUUGCUCAGCUCUGCUGCUGUAGAAACUACCCUGACACUGCAAACGGAUCGAAGAGGUCUUAAUUUACGUCUCCCGUUUACUAUACACUGCACACCGUCGCGCUGUCUGCACCUGUUUGCAAGUAGGGGCAAAGAGGGAAGCUAGAACAGGUGUCAGCAUAUGAAUACUCAGGACAAAUGUCAAACCGGCGGUAGGCCUUGCGCGUUUCAGACGUUUAGACGGAACCAAAUGGACAUUGUGUUUGCCAGCGGCAAAAUAUAAAGUGAAAUUGUUACGUCGGGAAAACAGGGUAGUCGUAGUGGUUUCACGUACUUCCUUGAAGUGGCCCACAGGCAAUAAUGCUGCGACACGAGAAGCGAAGAAACGUCCAGCAAUUAAACAGCGCAACAGCUUCAGGUCGCUACCUCUCGCCCUGGUUUCUAUAAAAUUAAAAGAUGACCGCUUGUUGGACCGGUUGUACAGUACCAAGAUUCUUUAUGGGGCAGAGCUGCAGCGAUUCUCAGCUGUUGCCAGAACAUGCUCUACGCCCUAUGACGUAGUAAAGCGUAGAAAGUGAGGCAACUGAACUUUUUCGGAUAUACCGUACCCUUCAGUCUGUUAGCUUUUGUCUAGGAUGUUGGUAAGUACGAGGCCCGAACAGAUUGAAUGUGGCAAGCAGCGGUAACGGUUGAGCUGCAAAAUUCAUUCACUAGGUGU